RNAcentral lists this long non-coding RNA (5076 nucleotides) under Cinara cedri. The record is from RNAcentral. Lineage: Eukaryota; Metazoa; Arthropoda; Insecta; Hemiptera; Aphididae.
CCCUAAUAUUACCUAUUCAUCACCUUAACGAUAAGUACGCAAUAUUAUUCAUUAAACGGCAUUAAAAUUUAUAUUAUGACACUUAUAUUAUUCUUAUGUGUAUUGUUAGAAAAAUAAAUAUUCAUAUAGAAAAAAUAUAUUCUUAGCAAUUAGUCUUAAUGAUUACUCUUUACUAAUAGGCAGAUAUAAUAAAGGGAUAAUUCAAUUGUCAGUGGCACCCAAACUAUAGUUACAGUGUAUCUUUUGCUAAACAUUAAUUUUUCGGUGAAUUGGUAACCCUAGUAAUUGAGAUUUGGGAGCGUGAGGAAAAAGUGUUUUAAAGAAAAACUUUUAAAAAGAUUGGUUUUAAGAUCUUAAAUCUAUAUAAAAUGUAAUUGUNAAAUAUAUUCUUAGCAAUUAGUCUUAAUGAUUACUCUUUACUAAUAGGCAGAUAUAAUAAAGGGAUAAUUCAAUUAUCAGUGGCGCCCAAACUAUAGUUACAGUGUAUCUUUUGCUAAACAUUAUUUUUUCGGUGAAUGGGUAACCCUAGUAAUUGAGAUUUGGAAGCGUGAGGAAAAAGUGUUUUAAAGAAAAACUUUUAAAAAAAUUGGUUUUAAGAUCUUAAAUCUAUACAAAAUGUUUUAUUAGUAAAUAAUAGUUCUUUGUUUUGGAAUUUUGCUACGCCAUAAAAUUAUAGUUUAAGUGCCACUGAUAAAGAUUAUGAACGCCUAUAUUAUAAAUACCUUUGUACACAAAUUACUACCAUUGCUACUUGUCGAAAUUCAAUAUUUCAAUUCGAAAACGACCCUUAAAUUUAAUUUAAAGUUAAUUAACAAAUAAAACAAUGUAUAUGUCUAAAAGACUUAAUAUUAAAUAAUUAUCAUCUUAAAGAUAAUUAUGAUUAAAUAUUCACUUAACCUUAAUNACGUAUUUCACAAAACAUUACAAAAUUAUGUAUCGAAAUUCAAUAUUUCAAUUCGAAAACGACCCUUAAAUUUAAUUUAAAGUUAAUUAACAAAUAAUACAAUGUAUAUGUCUAAAAGACUUAAUAUUAAAUAAUUAUCAUCUUAAAGCUAAUAAAGAUUAAAUAUUCACUUAACCGUAAUACCAAAUAAUAAUGUUACAUUAUUAUUAGCUAAAAGCACGAAUAAUUAUUAUUAUCUAGAUUUAUUUUUUUGGUUUUUUUAUUUUUUAUUUUUUUUUUUUGCGUUCAUAGAGUCCAUUUAGGGUCUUAUGAUCUUUCAAUUUUCGCUAUUUUCAUUGGAUUCCAGGUCCAUUUCAGGCGAAACCUUUGGGAUAUUUGCUCUUAAUAGGUCUGACCUUUUUUGCUUAUGGCCUUUUUUGGAUCUUUAACCGUUGAUUUCAUCAGUCAUCUCUUUAUUUCUCCAUAAGUAUUCUGUCUAUCUUAUUAGUUUGUUAUUUAUAUAUUAUAAUAUAUUUUUUUUAUGAAAUAGCUUGUACAAAUUCUUGUUCGCUCUUUUUCGGUAUUUUCUAUUAAAAUAAUGGGUUGAAAUUCAAUAUUUUCAUUUAAAAACUACAAAUUAUUUGGUUUAAAAAUGAUGAAGAAAUAAACUAAUAUAAAUUUAAAUAAAGGCCUUAAUAUUACCUAUUCAUUAUCUUAACGAUAAGUACGUAAUAUUAUUCAUUAAACUGCAUUAAAAUUUAUAUUAUGACACUUAUAUUAUUCUUAUGUGUAAUGUUAGAAAAAUAAAUAUCCAUAUAGAAAAAAUAUAUUCUUAGCAAUUAGUCUUAAUGAUUACUCUUUACUAAUAGGCAGAUAUAAUAAAGGGAUAAUUCAAUUAUCAGUGGCAUCCAAACUAUAGUUACAGUGUAUCUUUUGCUAAACAUUAAAUUGUCGGUGAAUAGGUAACCCUAGUAAUCGAGAUUCGGGAGCGUUAGGAAAAAGUGUUUUAAUGAAAAACUUUAAAAAAAAUUGGUUUUAAGAUCUUAAAUCUAUAUAAAAUGUAAUUGUGGUAAGUGGUAGUUUUAUAUUAAGAAAUUUGCUACGCCAUAAAAUUAUAGUUUGGGUGCCACUGAUAAAGAUUAUGAACGCCUAAAUUUUAAAAACCUUCUACGUAUUUCACAAAACAUUACAAAAUUAUGUAUCGAAAUUCAAUAUUUCAAUUCGAAAACGACCCUUAAAUUUAAUUUAAAGUUAAUUAACAAAUAAAACAAUGUAUAUGUCAAAAAGACUUAAUAUUAAAUAAUUAUCAUCUUAAAGAUAAUUAUGAUUAAAUAUUCACUUAACCUUAAUACCAAUUAUUAAUGUUACAUUAUUAUUAGCUAAAAGCACUAAUAAUUAUUAUUUACUAGAUUUACUUUUUUGGUUUUUUUAUUUUUUAUUUUUUUUUUUGCGUUCAUAGAGUCCAUUUAGGGUCUUAUGAUCUUUCAAUUUUCGCUAUUUUCAUUGGAUUCCAGGUCCAUUUCAGGCGAAACCUUUGGGAUAUUUGCUCUUAAUAGGUCUGACCUUUUUUGCUUAUGGCCUUUUUUGGAUCUUUAACCGUUGAUUUCAUCAGUCAUCUCUUUAUUUCUCCAUAAGUAUUUUGUCUAUUUUAUUAGUUUGUUAUUUAUAUAUUAUAAUAUAUUUUUUUUAUGAAAUAGCUUGUACAGAUUCUUGUUCGCUCUUUUUCGGUAUUUUCUAUUAAAAUAAUGGGUUGAAAUUCAAUAUUUUCAUUUUAAAACUACAAAUUAUUUGGUUUAAAAAUGAUGAAGAAAAAAACUAAUAUAAAUAUAAAUAAAGGCCUUAAUAUUACCUAUUCAUCACCUUAACGAUAAGUACGCAAUAUUAUUCAUUAAACUGCAUUAAAAUGUAUAUUAUGACACUUAUAUUAUUCUUAUGUGUAUUGUUAGAAAAAUAAAUAUUGAUAUAGAAAAAAUAUAUUCUUAGCAAUUAGUCUUAAUGAUUACUCUUUACUAAUAGGCAGAUAUAAUAAAGGGAUAAUUCAAUUAUCAGUGGCAUCCAAACUAUAGUUACAGUGUAUCUUUUGCUAAACAUUAUAUUGUCGGUGAAUAGGUAACCCUAGUAAUCGAGAUUCGGGAGCGUUAGGAAAAAGUGUUUUAAUGAAAAACUUUUAAAAAGAUUGGUUUUAAGAUCUUAAAUCUAUACAAAAUGUUUUAUUAGUAAAUAAUAGUUCUUUGUUUUGGAAUUUUGCUACGCCAUAAAAUUAUAGUUUAAGUGCCACUGAUAAAGAUUAUGAACGCCUAUAUUAUAAAUACCUUUGUACACAAAUUACUACCAUUGCUACUUGUCGAAAUUCAAUAUUUCNAUUAGCUAAAAGCACUAAUAAUUAUUAUUUACUAGAUUUACUUUUUUGGUUUUUUUAUUUUUUAUUUUUUUUUUUGCGUUCAUAGAGUCCAUUUAGGGUCUUAUGAUCUUUCGCUAUUUUCAUUGGAUUCCAGGUCCAUUUCAGGCGAAACCUUUGGGAUAUUUGCUCUUAAUAGGUCUGACCUUUUUUGCUUAUGGCCUUUUUUGGAUCUUUAACCGUUGAUUUCAUCAGUCAUCUCUUUAUUUCUCCAUAAGUAUUUUGUCUAUUUUAUUAGUUUGUUAUUUAUAUAUUAUAAUAUAUUUUUUUUAUGAAAUAGCUUGUACAGAUUCUUGUUCGCUCUUUUUCGGUAUUUUCUAUUAAAAUAAUGGGUUGAAAUUCAAUAUUUUCAUUUUAAAACUACAAAUUAUUUGGUUUAAAAAUGAUGAAGAAAAAAACUAAUAAAAAUAUAAAUAAAGGCCUUAAUAUUACCUAUUCAUCAUCUUAACGAUAAGUACGUAAUAUUAUUCAUUAAACUGCGUUAAAAUUUAUAUUAUGACACUUAUAUUAUUCUUAUGUGUAUUGUUAGAAAAAUAAAUAUCCAUAUGGAAAAAAUAUAUUCUUAGCAAUUAGUCUUAAUGAUUACUCUUUACUAAUAGGCAGAUAUAAUAAAGGGAUAAUUCAAUUAUCAGUGGCACCCAAACUAUAGUUACAGUGUAUCUUUUGCUAAACAUUAUAUUGUCGGUGAAUAGGUAACCCUAGUAAUCGAGAUUUGGGAGCGUUAGGAAAAAGUGUUUUUAAGAAAAACUUUUAAAAAGAUUGGUUUUAAGAUCUUAAAUCUAUAUAAAAUGUAAUUGUGGUAAGUGGUAGUUUUAUAUUAAGAAAUUUGCUACGCCAUAAAAUUAUAGUUUGGGUGCCACUGAUAAAGAUUAUGAACGCCUAAAUUUUAAAAACCUUCUACGUAUUUCACAAAACAUUACAAAAUUAUGUAUCGAAAUUCAAUAUUUCAAUUCGAAAACGACCCUUAAAUUUAAUUUAAAGUUAAUUAACAAAUAAAACAAUGUAUAUGUCAAAAAGACUUAAUAUUAAAUAAUUAUCAUCUUAAAGAUAAUUAUGAUUAAAUAUUCAUUUAACCUUAAUACCAAUUAGUAAUGUUACAUUAUUAUUAGCUAAAAGCACUAAUAAUUAUUAUUUACUAGAUUUACUUUUUUGGUUUUUUUAUUUUUUAUUUUUUUUUUUGCGUUCAUAGAGUCCAUUUAGGGUCUUAUGAUCUUUCGCUAUUUUCAUUGGAUUCCAGGUCCAUUUCAGGCGUAACCUUUGGAAUAUUUGCUCUUAAUAGGUCUAACCUUUUUUGCUUAUGGCCUUUUUUGGAUCUUUAACCGUUGAUUUCAUCAGUCAUCUCUUUAAUUCUCCAUAAGUAUUCUGUCUAUUUUAUUAGUUNAAAUAUCCAUAUAGAAAAAAUAUAUUCUUAGCAAUUAGUCUUAAUGAUUACUCUUUACUAAUAGGCAGAUAUAAUAAAGGGAUAAAUCAAUUAUCAGUGGCACCCAAACUAUAGUUACAGUGUAUCUUUUGCUAAACAUUAUAUUGUCGGUGAAUGGGUAACCCUAGUAAUUGAGAUUUGGGAGCGUGAGAAAAAAGUGUUUUAAAGAAAAACUUUUAAAAAGAUUGGUUUUAAGAUCUUAAAUCUAUAUAAAUUGUUAAUGUUUCGGGUUGUGGGUUUGUAUUUCAAAUUCUGUUACACCAUGAAGAAUAGUUUUGGCGCCACUGAUAAGGAAUAUGACUGCGUAUUUUAUACCUGCCACCUAUGUUGUGCUACGAAUAGAUCUCAUAAUUAUCGGUCGAAAUUCAAUAUUUU